AUUGAACGCUGGCGGCAGGCCUAACACAUGCAAGUCGAGCGGCUGAAGGGAGCUUGCUCCUGGAUUCAGCGGCGGACGGGCGAGUAAUGCCUAGGAAUCUGCCUGGUAGUGGGGGAUAACGUCCGGAAACGGGCGCUAAUACCGCAUACGUCCAGAGGGAGAAAGUGGGGGAUCUUCGGACCUCACGCUAUCAGAUGAGCCUAGGUCGGAUUAGCUAGUUGGUGGGGUAAAGGCCUACCAAGGCGACGAUCCGUAACUGGUCUGAGAGGAUGAUCAGUCACACUGGAACUGAGACACGGUCCAGACUCCUACGGGAGGCAGCAGUGGGGAAUAUUGGACAAUGGGCGAAAGCCUGAUCCAGCCAUGCCGCGUGUGUGAAGAAGGUCUUCGGAUUGUAAAGCACUUUAAGUUGGGAGGAAGAGCAGUAAGUUAAUACCUUGCUGUUUUGACGGUACCAACAGAAUAAGCACCGGCUAACUUCGUG
RNAcentral lists this ribosomal RNA (484 nucleotides) under uncultured bacterium. RNAcentral describes it as "partial 16S ribosomal RNA". It matches the Rfam family "Bacterial small subunit ribosomal RNA", at positions 30 to 507 of the family's 1533-position model. The record is from RNAcentral.